Molecule: ribosomal RNA, 468 nt
Filed under: Micrococcineae bacterium CL6.87
Lineage: Bacteria; Bacillati; Actinomycetota; Actinomycetes; Micrococcales
Description: bacterial SSU rRNA
Rfam family: Bacterial small subunit ribosomal RNA
Source: RNAcentral
CCCUGGCUCAGGAUGAACGCGGGCGGCGUGCUUAACACAUGCAAGUCGAACGAUGAGCCCCAGCUUGCUGGGGUGAUUAGUGGCGAACGGGUGAGUAACACGUGAGUAACCUGCCCCUGACUCUGGGAUAAGCCCGGGAAACUGGGUCUAAUACUGGAUAUGCACCGUGGACCGCAUGGUCCUUGGUGGAAAGAUUUUUUGGUCAGGGAUGGACUCGCGGCCUAUCAGCUUGUUGGUGAGGUAAUGGCUCACCAAGGCGACGACGGGUAGCCGGCCUGAGAGGGUGACCGGCCACACUGGGACUGAGACACGGCCCAGACUCCUACGGGAGGCAGCAGUGGGGAAUAUUGCACAAUGGGCGAAAGCCUGAUGCAGCGACGCCGCGUGAGGGAUGACGGCCUUCGGGUUGUAAACCUCUUUCAGUAGGGAAGAAGCGAAAGUGAACGGUACCUGCAGAAGAAGCGCCGG